CAUCACCUUGACCUCAUGAAUUCAUAAUUUAUGUCACCAUAUUAAUCAUUGUGGGUAUAUGGUUACUUCUCUCACCAUCUCUCUUAAACUUGCUCUACCAUUGCCUAAACCACUAUCACCACCCCAUCUACCUGGGCAUGCUCAUGCAUUGUUGCAUGUGGUCUAUCUCAAUCUUUUCAAUCUUGAAUUCAAAUGAAAACUUCUAUUCAUCAACUCUACCUCGGGAAUUAUCUUCUUCAUAAGUUGGUCUCAACCAAAGUGGUGGAAAUUAUUCUCAUGCCACAUGUCACCCUCAUACUCCUUUCUAUCCAUAUGUACCUACUCCUAUUCUAAUCCUCAUCAAAGUUUUCCAUUGACAUCUUCCACAACACCAUGCCAUAGCCUAUGCACAUGGACAUGGAAGUCUCUCACACAUUGUUCACUUGUUCUUGGCAAAAUUGGAGCCGACCAUUGAGAUUGGCAUGACAAUUUCGGCCAGCCCUCCCUCCUCACUUUCUUCUCUUGCAAGCCUUGCCUCCCAACUACCCCAACAAUUAAAUGGGCAGCCACCCACCUUGGCCAAUGAAAAAGGAGGCAGCUACCCCUCUCCCUCUAUAAAUUGGCCCUAGCCGGCCACCUCCUCCCCUUUGGCUUCAUUUCCUUCACUCUCCACUCCCCCACACUCUCCCCCUACCUCUCCCCACGAGCUGCUGCCCCUCCCAAGCUUCAUGGCCGGCCAUGGCCAUGGAGAUUCACCAAGAGGAAGCUCUUUCCCUCCCUCAAGCUCUCCCUCACCAUGAGAGCAUCCCUCUCACUCUCUUCUCCCCUAACCUUUGAUGAAUCCAGCUCCCCUUUCUCCUUUAUCCUCUCACAAGAUUGGAUCUUGAUGCAGGUGCAUGUUGGUCCAAGCAUGGAGAAGGUUGAGCAAUCCUCAGAUCUGAAGUUCUUGAGCAAAGUUCGUCCAAAAUCUUGCAGUAAUUUCUGUAAUCUUGCUGUUUCAGAUUCUGGUACGAACUUGUAAAAUCCGCCAAAACUCUUGUACAGAUCCAAAUCGAGUGAUUCAAAGUUCCUCAGAUAGGUAUUGAAAAGAUCUACAACUUGGCGUUGGUCUCAUCCUCAAAUUCUUUACGGAUUUUGCAUGAUCAAGAUCUGGUCAGAUCUGACUUUGUCGAAUUAAACCAGGAGCUUGGAAACGAAUUUUUGAAUCUUAUAUUUACUAAUUGGAGGCACCAUAAAAGCCUCCACGUUAAUCCACAUCAUUAGAAUUAAUUAAGACAAUUAGAUCUAAAAUUUAUGGUUAGGAUUAAUCUAAAAGUCGUGAGUUAUAGUGUACGUAAAAAAGUCAACUUGGCAAUGUUGGCACGUUAGGUUAUUUUGUUUUGCCCCGUACGUAUAAGUUUGGAGGUUCAAAAAAAUCGUCAGCCGAAUGAAUUAUGAUAUGCGACCUGCUAUCCCAUGAACGCGAGUCGUUAUCUGUUCGGUCUCAUCAUGCGACCUUUUUUUUCCGUGAACUUGAGUCGUUAUCUCUUUGGUCUCAUACAAAGUAAGGAUUCUAGGUAUAAUGAUCCAUCGCGGCUGCACGGGACUGUAGUCCAAACAAAGUUGCCUUCCUGAUAAAAAAAAAACCUACACGUUUUGUUUCUCUAAGGCCAAGACGCUAACCUUACAUUUAAAAUAAACGUAUCCAGCUUAUCCAAUCGAUCUCCGCCUGGUUACGAUGCAUCUCAAAAGAAACUCACGACAUGCGGCCUGAAUCGCGGAUACGGCAAGGAGGGCGUCUGACCAAUAAACCGCCGGUGACGUCGGAAGCUCGAGGCAUCUGCAUGCCGUGAGGGCCACGUUUGAAUUCCGCAUUAUUCGUUGCGUUGAGAUGCUUCAGACAUGAUGAUGCACGUGUGUACAACAAUGACUACUCCUAUCGUAUGCAUGUGCAUAUCUGUAUUUCCAUGACAUGGUAUCGAUCAAGAACUGAAACUGACCUCUUAUUAUUUUGAAGAAUCAUGCAUAUACACAGGAUGUUUCAGAGCAUCCCUGUGGUUGCUACCGGUGGCUGAACAUGGACUGCAACUUCGACUACAAUCAAUCAAAGACAGGCUAUAUACAAAAGCAGCAACUGGUGCAAGAAACGGGACCUCGGAGGGGUGAGGUAGAGUUCGGUAAAGAAAAGAAGAUGGUAUCAUGAUGAGCAUCUUAUUAGCUAUAAACUACGGAAACAGCAAGGAUUUGUAGCUAAAGCGUUUACUUUUUAUAUCGAUGCAUAUGGAGCUGCAUCUACUUUUUAUCCAUAUUACGUAUGCACUUGGUCUCAAAAUAGAGACAUAUAAUGUUUGCUUUGGUAUGAACGUAUGAUACCCUACUGCA
Molecule: long non-coding RNA, 2340 nt
Organism: Lolium perenne
Lineage: Eukaryota; Viridiplantae; Streptophyta; Magnoliopsida; Poales; Poaceae
Source: RefSeq, a predicted model, not a curated record